Molecule: ribosomal RNA, 408 nt
Filed under: uncultured bacterium
Lineage: Bacteria
Description: partial 16S ribosomal RNA
Rfam family: Bacterial small subunit ribosomal RNA
Source: RNAcentral
GACGAACGCUGGCGGCGUGCUUAACACAUGCAAGUCGAACGAAGUGGCGAACGGGUGAGUAACGCGUAAUCAACCUGCCCUUCAGAGGGGGACAACAGUUGGAACCGACUGCUAAUACCGCAUACUGAAGGAGGGGAUUGCGUUUGAUUCGCUAGUAGGUAAGGUAAUGGCUUACCUAGGCGACGAUCCCUAGCUGGUCUGAGAGGAUGAUCAGCCACACUGGAACUGAGCCACGGUCCAGACUCCUACGGGAGGCAGCAGGGGGGAAUAUUGGACAAUGGGCGAAAGCCUGAUCCAGCCAUGCCGCGUGUGUGAAGAAGGUCUUCGGAUUGUAAAGCACUUUAAGUUGGGAGGCGUUACCAACAGAAUAAGCACCGGCUAACUUCGUGCCAGCAGCCGCGGUAAUUC